GGGGAAUAUUGGACAAUGGGGGCAACCCUGAUCCAGCCAUGCCGCGUGAGUGAUGAAGGCCUUCGGGUUGUAAAGCUCUUUUGGCGGGGACGAUGAUGACGGUACCCGCAGAAUAAGCCCCGGCUAACUUCGUGCCAGCAGCCGCGGUAAGACGAAGGGGGCAAGCGUUGUUCGGAAUUACUGGGCGUAAAGGGCGCGUAGGCGGUUUGCUUAGUCAGGCGUGAAAGCCCUGGGCUUAACCUGGGAUGUGCGCUUGAUACUGGCAGGCUUGAGUGUGGGAGAGGUUGGUGGAAUUCCCAGUGUAGAGGUGAAAUUCGUAGAUAUUGGGAAGAACACCGGUGGCGAAGGCGGCCAACUGAACCACAACUGACGCUGAGGCGCGAAAGCGUGGGGAGCAAACA
This 401-nucleotide ribosomal RNA is filed under the name uncultured bacterium. Its description in RNAcentral is "bacterial SSU rRNA". It matches the Rfam family "Bacterial small subunit ribosomal RNA", at positions 356 to 774 of the family's 1533-position model. The record is from RNAcentral.